GGUUUCCGGGCGGAGUGCUGGUGUGCGCCAUCCAUCCUUCGAGAACGCAUAUCUUCCUCACGGUUGGUAUGUUAUCUCGAUCUUUUACUUUGAAAAAAUUAGAGUGUUUAAAGCAGGCUUGCGCUAUGAAUACAUUAGCAUGGAAUAAUAAUUUAGGACUUUGGUCUUAUUUUGUUGGUUUCUAGGACUAAAGUAAUGAUUGAUAGGGACAGUUGGGGGUGCUAGUAUUCAGCGGCCAGAGGUGAAAUUCUUGGAUUCGCUGAAGACUAACUUAUGCGAAAGCAUUCACCAAGGAUGUCUUCUUUAAUCAAGAACGAAAGUUAGGGGAUCGAAGAUGAUUAGAUACCGUCGUAGUCUUAACCAUAAACGAUGCCGACCAGCGAUUGGGAGACGUUACACAUGCUGCCCCAAAAGGUAGCAUGGAGGACUCCCCCAGCAGCUUGUGAGAAAUCAUAAGUCUUUGGGUUCCGGGGGGAGUAUGGUCGCAAGGCUGAAACUUAAAGGAAUUGACGGAAGGGCACCACCAGGAGUGGAGCCUGCGGCUUAAUUUGACUCAACACGGGGAAACUCACCAGGUCCAGAUGAAAUAAGGAUUGACAGAUUGAGAGCUCUUUCUUGAUUUUUCAGGUGGUGGUGCAUGGCCGUUCUUAGUUCGUGGGGUGACUUGUCUGCUUAAUUGCGAUAACGAACGAGACCUUAACCUGCUAAAUAGCCAGGCUAGCUUUGGCUGGUCGCCGGCUUCUUAGAGGGACUAUCGG
Molecule: ribosomal RNA, 758 nt
Filed under: uncultured eukaryote
Lineage: Eukaryota
Description: bacterial SSU rRNA
Rfam family: Eukaryotic small subunit ribosomal RNA
Source: RNAcentral